AUGAAGAUUAAAUGUUAUUCAGAGGGAAAUUCUAGCCUGGAUGUCAGGGGAGAAGCUUCUAAUGGUAGCCAGCACUGUUCACAUCACAUUACAACAGCAUGCUUACGAGCUCAUCAAGAGAAGACUGUAGUAGAUCAUGUGCCUUGUAAAACUGAUGCUUCAGUGCAAACAUACAAAGGAUGUGCCUGGUCUGAAGAGUUGCUGAGAAUGUCACAGAGUCCUGCUAUGGCUUGUGGCCCAUUUACUGUCCAUGGAUUCAUGCACCCACUCAUCCCUCCAGCCACCUGUCCUGCAACAUUUUGAUGUACGUACCCAGAAACUGCUGGUAGGAUGGCAGCCAUCAGCUUCCAAAGCCAGACAUCUGCAAAGUGGUAAAAUAUCUGCAAAAGUGAUUUCCCAUCUGAACACGCUGUGACCUGGAUGCACAU
Molecule: long non-coding RNA, 428 nt
Filed under: Anas zonorhyncha (Eastern spot-billed duck)
Lineage: Eukaryota; Metazoa; Chordata; Aves; Anseriformes; Anatidae
Description: lncRNA (ENSAZOG00000010549.1)
Source: RNAcentral